GACGUAGGGCGCGAGCGUUGUUCGGAAUUACUGGGCGUAAAGGGCGCGUAGGCGGCCUGCUAAGUCACACGUGAAAUCCCUCGGCUCAACCGGGGAACUGCGUGUGAUACUGGCGGGCUUGAAUUCGGGAGAGGGAUGUGGAAUUCCAGGUGUAGCGGUGAAAUGCGUAGAUAUCUGGAGGAACACCGGUGGCGAAGGCGGCAUCCUGGACCGAGAUUGACGCUGAGGCGCGAAAGCUAGGGGAGCAAACGGG
This 253-nucleotide ribosomal RNA is filed under the name uncultured bacterium. RNAcentral's name for it is "partial 16S ribosomal RNA". It matches the Rfam family "Bacterial small subunit ribosomal RNA", at positions 524 to 776 of the family's 1533-position model. The record is from RNAcentral.